CUAUCAAUUGUGUAGAGACUCAAACACAAGAUUAGGGAGUAAACAAAUGCUUAACUAGUAAACCAGUAGACUCAUUCUUGACAUAGAUUAUCAAGGAAAUAAACUUAAGUCAAUGGCCCAAGAGUAGAGGUUAAUUUUAAACAAAAGAGCAAAACUUCCUAAAAACUCAACUCGAACCCCUGACCUCAAACACAUACCCAG
This 201-nucleotide long non-coding RNA is filed under the name Gossypium raimondii (Peruvian cotton). RNAcentral's name for it is "long non-coding RNA (GRAI_LNC009885)". The record is from RNAcentral. Lineage: Eukaryota; Viridiplantae; Streptophyta; Magnoliopsida; Malvales; Malvaceae.